CGGACGAUUUCACUGGCGACAAGAAGGAAAAAUUUGUUUUUGGACGAGAUGCGUAACUACAAAAGAAAAACCGACAAAGGAAAAUAUUCUAUUGACAUGUUGGAGAAAGCAGCUGAAGUUGUAAGAGAAGGAAGAUCUGUUAGGCAUGCUGCGAAAACGUACAACAUCUGCCAUGUGACACUUGGGAGGUACAUAAAAAAGAAAAACAAACGUUUAAAUGCAGUCGAUAUUAAUUUUCGAGAGGAGUGGAAACCUUUGGCUGGUUAUUAUGGGAACAGACAGGUAUUUACACCUUUGCAAGAGAUCGCUCUUGUUUCCUACAUAAAAACAUGUUCUGACAUAUAUUUUGGACUCACUCCACGUGAUGUACGUCAUCUUGCAUUCUUAUGUGGGAAGAAGUAUAAUGUUCCCAUGCCAAACACAUGGAGUGACAAAGAACUAGCAGGUGCAGAUUGGCUCUCUUCCUUUUUAAAGCGCCACCCAGACCUUUCCAUUCGGACUCCAGAGGCAACUAGUUUGGGAAGGGCUUCUAGUUUUAAUCGUGCCAACGUUUCCAAAUUUUUUGACAAACUCUCUGAAGUUUAUGAUCGCCAUUCUUUCACAGCUAAUGACAUUUGGAAUGUAGAUGAGACCGGGGUCACUACUGUCCAGAAUCCUUCAAAAAUCGUAGCAAGAAAGGGGGUAAAACAAAUUGGAGCAAUGACAUCAUCUGAACGAGGGCAGUUAGUUACUCUAACUGUAGCAGUAAAUGCUGCUGGAAAUGCUAUCCCUCCUAUGUUUAUU
Bacillus rossius redtenbacheri is the source of this 783-nucleotide long non-coding RNA. RefSeq lists it as uncharacterized. The transcript has 3 exons. The record is from RefSeq and is a predicted model, not a curated record. NCBI's taxonomy places the organism in Eukaryota, Metazoa, Arthropoda, Insecta, Phasmatodea, Bacillidae.